RNAcentral lists this long non-coding RNA (2857 nucleotides) under Triticum aestivum (bread wheat). RNAcentral's name for it is "long non-coding RNA (TAES_LNC006438)". Lineage: Eukaryota; Viridiplantae; Streptophyta; Magnoliopsida; Poales; Poaceae. The record is from RNAcentral.
UAGUAGAUUAAUAUUUGUGCUACUCUAUUUCUCUUGUGUGUUGUAUUUUGUGGUAGGCAUGGCUAGUUUGUGGAGUCUAAGUGAUGAAGUUCAUGAAGAGGAAGAGGAGGAUUAUGAUCCCAGUGUUGAACAGGACAAUGCUGCCACAAGUGCAAGGUUGGACUAGAUCGUUGUGGCUAAUCCUGCUCGUCGUCGUGCUGCCCCAUCAGCUACUGCUACGGCAGCACCUCGCACCAAGCGUACAAGGUUGAACCAAGAGGGACGUCGUGCAAGAACUAAUGAAGCAAGUCAGCCACCCGAUGGACAUGAAGCAAGUCAGCCGCCAUCACCACUGGCACCGCCAGGACCAAAGGUUACUACUGCUCAAAAAUUAAGGUCAAAAGCAUGGAAAAACUUCACUAGGAUUGAACAACCUAAUCAUGAUGAAGUAGUGGCAGAGUGCAAUAUUUGUCAUACUAUACUUAGAGCGCCCUCGAAGAAUGGAACAUCUAGUUUGUUAAGGCAUACUGCUCAAGUGCAUCCACAUAAUACAAAUGAAGUAAAUAGCUAUUUUUUGAAAACUGAAAAGAAUGUGAUGGAUCACAUUCAGUUAGAAACACAAAGUUUGACAUGGAAACUAUUAGAGCUGCAAUCUCUAUGUUCCUAGUUGGGGGUUCACAUGCAUUUAGUGUGAUAGAAGAAGUGGGGUUCAAAAAAAUGAUUGGUGCUGCUUGUCCUUAGUUUAAGAUUGUUAGUCGGUACACAAUUAGAAGGAAUAUCAUGGCAAUGUUUGAAAGAGAGAGGACUAAAUUGAGAGAAAUUAUCAGCAACAACCUUGGUAGAGUUAGCUUCACCAUGGACAAUUGGAAAUCAGAUGUGACAAAGUUUAGUUAUAUUUGUAUUACUUGUCAUUAUGUUGAUGAUGCUUGGAGACUGAACAAAAGGAUAAUAUGGUUUAAAAAGUUGAAUCCACGUUAUGAUGGGGCUACAAUUGCUGAUGAAGUCCAUUUAUGUUUUCGUGAGUGGAAGGUUGACACCAAAAUAAUGUGCAUGACUCUUGAUAAUGCUGCAUACAAUGAUUCAAUGGUCAACACUUUGAGAACUACAUUGCUGUCUAAAGGUGUGUUACCAUUGUUUGGAACUUUCUUUCAAGUCCGAUGUUGUGCACACAUUUUAAAUCUGAUUGUCCAAGCUGGUCUGAAACUUAUUGAUAAAUGUGCUGACAAGAUUAGAGAGGGCAUUCAAUAUAUCAAAAUUUCUAGCAAUCGUAUUCACAAGUUCUGUGAAACUGCCAAGAACAUUUACCAUUUGAAAGAAGAUAAAAGGCUGAGAGUAGAUAUGCCCGUCCGUUGGAAUUCAACAUACACAAUGCUUGAGAACGCUUUGUAUUUUAAAGAUGCAUCACUGUGCUUUGGUAAUAGGGAUGGCAUAUUCAAGUCAAACUUCUCUCUUACUAAUGAUGAAUAGGAAAAGGUUCGUAUCAUGCAUGAUUUCUUGAAAACUUUUUAUAAAGUCACAUGCACAUUAUCCGGGACAAAGUAUCCUACCUCCAAUUAGUAUUUCAAGUGUGUGUUCUUGGUUCAAUCAUGUGUCUUGAAGGCAUCUAGUGAAGGACAUGAGUUCAUGGCACCAAUGCUAGCUCCAAUGAAAAAGAAGUUUGAUAAGUAUUGGGCUGAUUAUAAUGUCUUCUUGUCUUGUGCUGCUAUCCUUGAUCCCCGUUGCAAGCUUGGUUUUGUUAAAUAUUGUUAUGGAAAACUUUAUGCCCCCGACGAGGCGGAACGUCGGAUGCAUGAAGUUAAGAAAACUUUGGAGAGUUUGUUUGCUGAAUAUAGUGAUGCUAUUGUUAGUCAAACAUCAUCAGAUGGUGCUACAAACAGUAGGGGAAGUAGGGGAGAUGGUUCUGAUAUGUUCGAUGACUAUGAGAGUUACAUUCAAUCUCAACGGACAAAUGUAGAUAGGUCUCAAUUGGAUCUUUACUUGGAAGAAACUCCUAGAAAAUUGACUGACGAGUUGGAUGUCUUGGAAUUUUGGAGCAAAUCAUCUACGUGAUACCCUGAGCUUGCAUCAAUGGCUCGGGAUAUUCUUGUUGUCCCCAUUUCUAGGGUUGCUUCGGAGCAAGCAUUUAGCAUGAGUCGCAAAGUUAUAACACCUAACCGAGCUUCACUUAAGCCUAAGACCAUCGAGGAUUGGUAUCGUUGGAAGAUGUCUCAGAAUAAAGGUACAAUCAAGUGUCUAUUGUUGUUUCAUAUUAACAUCACCAUUGCACACAUUACCAUUGAUUCCUGUAUUGUUUGUUUUGUAGAAAUGAGCACUACAGGAGGUGGACCUUCAAGUUCUCAUGCAGAUGAGUUAUCUUCAGAUUCGGUUUGUAUUCAUUCAUGUCUUUUCUAUCUAACUUACUUUGUUUACCAUAUAUCAGUUAUGCACUCCUUUAACACCUUGUCUUGUUUGUUGAUAUCAAACUUGCUUCCGUGCUUCAUGCCAUUCCUAUUUUUCUUAUUUUCAACUUGUGCUUUCAUCCAGGAAAAUGAUGAAGUUGAGAUAGCUUGAUGGAACAAGGAAGAGAUGGAUUCAAAGGAGUCAUCAGCUUGUGGCUUUCAACAUGCUAUUUGAUAUCUUUAUCAUGUAAUGGACUUGUUAUUUGGUAUGCUGUUAUGUAAUCGACUUGUUGAACUAUGUUGUGGACUUGUUGAACUAUGUUGUGGACUUAUCGAACCAUGUUGCGGACUUAUCAAACUAUGUUGCUUGUGUCUUUGGACUUGAGAAAUAUGCUGUUGUUAUUUAAUAAUGUAAUGAAUGGAUUACAUGUAUAUGUAUAUGCUGCUGUUUUGUGAAAUGCGGCUGUUUUGUGAAAUAUGUAUAUGCUGAUGUUUUGUGA